RNAcentral lists this ribosomal RNA (957 nucleotides) under Salmonella enterica subsp. enterica. RNAcentral's name for it is "partial 23S ribosomal RNA". It matches the Rfam family "Bacterial large subunit ribosomal RNA", at positions 1918 to 2869 of the family's 2925-position model. RNAcentral also lists the same sequence under 3 other names. Lineage: Bacteria; Pseudomonadati; Pseudomonadota; Gammaproteobacteria; Enterobacterales; Enterobacteriaceae. The record is from RNAcentral.
CCCCGGUAAACGGCGGCCGUAACUAUAACGGUCCUAAGGUAGCGAAAUUCCUUGUCGGGUAAGUUCCGACCUGCACGAAUGGCGUAAUGAUGGCCAGGCUGUCUCCACCCGAGACUCAGUGAAAUUGAACUCGCUGUGAAGAUGCAGUGUACCCGCGGCAAGACGGAAAGACCCCGUGAACCUUUACUAUAGCUUGACACUGAACAUUGAGCCUUGAUGUGUAGGAUAGGUGGGAGGCUUUGAAGUGUGGACGCCAGUCUGCAUGGAGCCGACCUUGAAAUACCACCCUUUAAUGUUUGAUGUUCUAACGUGGACCCGUAAUCCGGGUUGCGGACAGUGUCUGGUGGGUAGUUUGACUGGGGCGGUCUCCUCCUAAAGAGUAACGGAGGAGCACGAAGGUUGGCUAAUCCUGGUCGGACAUCAGGAGGUUAGUGCAAUGGCAUAAGCCAGCUUGACUGCGAGCGUGACGGCGCGAGCAGGUGCGAAAGCAGGUCAUAGUGAUCCGGUGGUUCUGAAUGGAAGGGCCAUCGCUCAACGGAUAAAAGGUACUCCGGGGAUAACAGGCUGAUACCGCCCAAGAGUUCAUAUCGACGGCGGUGUUUGGCACCUCGAUGUCGGCUCAUCACAUCCUGGGGCUGAAGUAGGUCCCAAGGGUAUGGCUGUUCGCCAUUUAAAGUGGUACGCGAGCUGGGUUUAGAACGUCGUGAGACAGUUCGGUCCCUAUCUGCCGUGGGCGCUGGAGAACUGAGGGGGGCUGCUCCUAGUACGAGAGGACCGGAGUGGACGCAUCACUGGUGUUCGGGUUGUCAUGCCAAUGGCACUGCCCGGUAGCUAAAUGCGGAAGAGAUAAGUGCUGAAAGCAUCUAAGCACGAAACUUGCCCCGAGAUGAGUUCUCCCUGAGACUUAGAGUCUCCUGAAGGAACGUUGAAGACGACGACGUUGAUAGGCCGGGUGUG